GACGAACGCUGGCGGCGUGCUUAACACAUGCAAGUCGAACGGAAAGGCCCCUUUGGGGGUACUCGAGUGGCGAACGGGUGAGUAACACGUGAGUAACCUGCCCUUGACUUCGGGAUAACUUCAGGAAACUGGGGCUAAUACCGGAUAGGAAUCCUUGCUGCAUGGUGGGGGUUGGAAGGCUUCGGCGGUUUUGGAUGGACUCGCGGCUUAUCAGCUUGUUGGUGGGGUAGUGGCUUACCAAGGCUUUGACGGGUAGCCGGCCUGAGAGGGCGACCGGCCACAUUGGGACUGAGAUACGGCCCAGACUCCUACGGGAGGCAGCAGUGGGGAAUAUUGCACAAUGGGCGGAAGCCUGAUGCAGCAACGCCGCGUGCGGGAUGACGGCCUUCGGGUUGUAAACCGCUUUCAGCAGGGGCGAAGCUUUUGUGACGGUACCUGCAGAAGAAGCACCGGCUAACUACGUG
This 464-nucleotide ribosomal RNA is filed under the name uncultured bacterium. RNAcentral describes it as "partial 16S ribosomal RNA". It matches the Rfam family "Bacterial small subunit ribosomal RNA", at positions 28 to 507 of the family's 1533-position model. The record is from RNAcentral.